RNAcentral lists this ribosomal RNA (375 nucleotides) under uncultured organism. Its description in RNAcentral is "partial 16S ribosomal RNA". It matches the Rfam family "Bacterial small subunit ribosomal RNA", at positions 527 to 896 of the family's 1533-position model. The record is from RNAcentral.
GUAGGUGGCAAGCGUUGUCCGGAAUUAUUGGGCGUAAAGCGCGCGCAGGUGGUUCUUUAAGUCUGAUGUGAAAGCCCCCGGCUCAACCGGGGAGGGUCAUUGGAAACUGGGGAACUUGAGUGCAGGAGAGGAAAGUGGAAUUCCACGUGUAGCGGUGAAAUGCGUAGAUAUGUGGAGGAACACCAGUGGCGAAGGCGACUUUCUGGCCUGUAACUGACACUGAGGCGCGAAAGCGUGGGGAGCAAACAGGGAUUAGAUACCCUGGUAGUCCACGCCGUAAACGAUGAGUGCUAAGUGUUGGGGGGGGUUUCCGCCCCCUCAGUGCUGCAGCUAACGCAUUAAGCACUCCGCCCUGGGAGUACGGCCGCAAGACUG